This 492-nucleotide ribosomal RNA is filed under the name uncultured bacterium. RNAcentral's name for it is "partial 16S ribosomal RNA". It matches the Rfam family "Bacterial small subunit ribosomal RNA", at positions 29 to 507 of the family's 1533-position model. The record is from RNAcentral.
AGUGAACGCUGGCGGUAGGCCUAACACAUGCAAGUCGAACGGCAGCACAGUAAGAGCUUGCUCUUACGGGUGGCGAGUGGCGGACGGGUGAGGAAUACAUCGGAAUCUACUUUUUCGUGGGGGAUAACGUAGGGAAACUUACGCUAAUACCGCAUACGACCUACGGGUGAAAGCAGGGGAUCUUCGGACCUUGCGCGAUUGAAUGAGCCGAUGUCGGAUUAGCUAGUUGGCGGGGUAAAGGCCCACCAAGGCGACGAUCCGUAGCUGGUCUGAGAGGAUGAUCAGCCACACUGGAACUGAGACACGGUCCAGACUCCUACGGGAGGCAGCAAUGGGGAAUAUUGGACAAUGGGCGCAAGCCUGAUCCAGCCAUACCGCGUAGGUGAAGAAGGCCUUCGGGUUGUAAAGCCCUUUUGUUGGGAAAGAAAAGCAGCAGGUUAAUACCCCGCUGUUCUGACGGUACCCAAAGAAUAAGCACCGGCUAACUUCGUG